CCUUUACUAUAGCUUCGCCUUGGCGUUAGCGACCGUAUGUGUAGGAUAGGUGGGAGGCUAUGAAACCGGGGGCGCCAGCUCUGGUGGAGCCAUCCUUGAAAUACCACCCUUACUGUCGUUGACGUCUAACCGAGGGCCGUUAUCCGGUCCCGGGACAUGGCGUGGUGGGUAGUUUGACUGGGGCGGUCGCCUCCUAAAGUGUAACGGAGGCGCGCGAUGGUGGGCUCAGACCGGUCGGAAAUCGGUCGUCGAGUGCAAUGGCAUAAGCCCGCCUGACUGCGAGACUGACAAGUCGAGCAGAGACGAAAGUCGGCCAUAGUGAUCCGGUGGUCCCGCGUGGAAGGGCCAUCGCUCAACGGAUAAAAAGGUA
Molecule: ribosomal RNA, 370 nt
Filed under: uncultured alga
Lineage: Eukaryota
Description: bacterial LSU rRNA
Rfam family: Bacterial large subunit ribosomal RNA
Source: RNAcentral